RNAcentral lists this ribosomal RNA (253 nucleotides) under uncultured bacterium. Its description in RNAcentral is "partial 16S ribosomal RNA". It matches the Rfam family "Bacterial small subunit ribosomal RNA", at positions 524 to 776 of the family's 1533-position model. The record is from RNAcentral.
UACGGAGGGGACUAGCGUUGUUCGGAAUUACUGGGCGUAAAGCGCACGUAGGCGGCUUUGUAAGUCAGGGGUGAAAUCCCCGGGCUCAACCUGGGAACUGCAUUUGUGACUGCAUGGCUAGAGUACGGUAGAGGGGGAUGGAAUUCCGCGUGUAGCAGUGAAAUGCGUAGAUAUGCGGAGGAACACCGAUGGCGAAGGCAAUCCCCUGGACCUGUACUGACGCUCAUGCACGAAAGCGUGGGGAGCAAACAGG